Molecule: long non-coding RNA, 1526 nt
Organism: Mytilus californianus (California mussel)
Lineage: Eukaryota; Metazoa; Mollusca; Bivalvia; Mytilida; Mytilidae
Exons: 3
Source: RefSeq, a predicted model, not a curated record
AUAGCUAAUGUAAAUUUUGACAUGUUACAUAAUGAACUGACGUCGAUUAGAGACCGGACGUCGAUCUGAGUCUUACAUAUAGGGGUAAAUUCAGUAAAUAAAUAUACGUCAUCAGGGACCGCCCAUUUGGGGGAGAGCUUUCUGUAUAAAACUGAAGUCAUGUGCUCUUCUGAUUGGUAGAUAAUGUUUGGAAUAAAUAUUUUUUGAUAGAUGGAUAAAAACUAGAGUUGAAAAAAAAUAAAAAAUAAAUGCUGAAUGUACUAAAUUUUUUUACUACAGGGUUGAAAAGUAAUGGGGGUCAGUGAAGGAAUUAAGUGCGAAUCUACAGUGUUUGUAAACAAGGCCAUGUGAAUGCCCAAAAAUGCCGCAUGACCCUAUGUUUUUAUUGUUGCAAAUGAUAGGGCUACAUUUGUACUUUCAUGAAUGAUAUAUGAAAUUUUCUAAUUUCUAAAGGUAAAUGAGGUAUAAAUUUAAUUCAAGACAUAGAUUAGCAUUACAGUCAAUGGGAGAUUUUUUACUGAAUUUACCCCUAUAGGAAAAUAUGCAUUCUGUCACUGUACUUGUCCAAGGCCACACAAUAAUCACAAAACUUAUUUCCUGUGUAUAUUAAUGUAAUGGAAGCAUUUUGGAACCAUUUGAAGUUGUUUUUUACACAAAUUUCUAUGUUUAACUCGGCUAUCCAAGAUGCACUUAGUGUACUGUGAGAGGAAGCAUGGGGUAUAUGGUAAAAAUCAGUUUUUGUGUCCAGAUUGAAAGAAACAAUAGAAAUUACACUUGAGAGUUAUGAUAUCAAUGAAAGGCAUAAAUAUUCCCCCCAUUUUACAACACAUUUUGCACAUAUUUCUCCUCAUUAUGUGUAAAAUCAUAUGGAAAAUCAGAAUUACCUCCCUUUGACAGUGUAUUUUUUUUAUCUGUGUUUCACCAUGUUAAGUUGUAGAACAAGUUGUAAAUAAGCACUUUUCAAGUAUUUUAACACUUGAAUAAUCUGACCGCAUGAAGAUAUUCAUUUAUUUUUACAUAACGCAUUGCGUUUCUUUAUUUAAAAAAAAUUGUAGAUAACUUUUUAUGAUUACAUGCCCUUCAUCUAUGAAACUAGUGUUGAAAUGUUUGUAAUUGGAUUACUAUGUUAAAUAAUUGCUUUUAAAUAUUUUAAAUUGUUACUUUAAUCUUCCAAAUGCAAAGUUUGGUCAUACCCAGUCUUAUUUUUUCAUAUUUGGCACUUUUUUCUACUUCAGUUUUGUCUGUCUAGUUUUGGCGAAGAAACCAUCCUGAUGUUGGGGUAACAGGAAUUUCUGCAGAGUGAUUGUCAAUGACAUUUUGUGAACUUUACAAUUUUGUCUGUCUAGUUUUGGCGAAGAAACCAUCCUGAUGUUGGGGUAACAGGAAUUUCUGCAGAGUGAUUGUCAAUGACAUUUUGUGAACUUUACAAUUUUGUCUGUCUAGUUUUGGCGAAGAAACCAUCCUGAUGUUGGGGUAACAGGAAUUUCUGCAGAGUGAUUGUCAAUGACAUUUUGUGAACUUUACAA